UACAGAGGGUGCAAGCGUUGUUCGGAAUUAUUGGGCGUAAAGCGCGUGUAGGCGGCUUUGCAAGUCGGGUGUGAAAGCCCUCAGCUUAACUGAGGAAGUGCGCCCGAAACUGCAGAGCUUGAAUACCGGAGAGGAUGGCGGAAUUCCCCAAGUAGAGGUGAAAUUCGUAGAUAUGGGGAGGAACACCAGAGGCGAAAGCGGCAUCCUGGGCCGGGCCUGACGCUGAGGCGUGAAAGCGUGGGUAGCAAACAGG
RNAcentral lists this ribosomal RNA (253 nucleotides) under uncultured bacterium. RNAcentral's name for it is "partial 16S ribosomal RNA". It matches the Rfam family "Bacterial small subunit ribosomal RNA", at positions 524 to 776 of the family's 1533-position model. The record is from RNAcentral.